UUCAGGUAGUUUAAAAAAAAUAUUAAUUUGUGGUAUUAAAGAUGUAGUUAUAAUUUUUACCCUGAGUA
Molecule: transfer RNA, 68 nt
Filed under: Opecarcinus hypostegus
Lineage: Eukaryota; Metazoa; Arthropoda; Malacostraca; Decapoda; Cryptochiridae
Description: tRNA-His
Source: RNAcentral